UACAGAGGGUGCGAGCGUUGUUCGGAAUUACUGGGCGUAAAGCGCGCGCAGGCGGUCCUUUAAGUCUGAUGUGAAAGCCCACGGCUCAACCGUGGAGGGUCAUUGGAAACUGGGGGACUUGAGUACAGAAGAGAAGAGUGGAAUUCCACGUGUAGCGGUGAAAUGCGUAGAGAUGUGGAGGAACACCAGUGGCGAAGGCGACUCUUUGGUCUGUAACUGACGCUGAGGCGCGAAAGCGUGGGGAGCAAACAGG
Molecule: ribosomal RNA, 253 nt
Filed under: uncultured bacterium
Lineage: Bacteria
Description: partial 16S ribosomal RNA
Rfam family: Bacterial small subunit ribosomal RNA
Source: RNAcentral